This 274-nucleotide ribosomal RNA is filed under the name uncultured bacterium. RNAcentral's name for it is "partial 16S ribosomal RNA". It matches the Rfam family "Archaeal small subunit ribosomal RNA", at positions 473 to 747 of the family's 1478-position model. The record is from RNAcentral.
AAACCAGCACCUCAAGUGGUCAGGAGGAUUAUUGGGCCUAAAGCAUCCGUAGCCUGUUCUGUAAGUUUUCGGUUAAAUCCAUUAGCUCAACUAAUGGGCCGCCGAAAAUACUGUAGAACUAGGGAGUGGGAGAGGUAGACGGUAUUCGGUAGGAAGGGGUAAAAUCCUUUGAUCUAUUGAGGACCACCUGCGGCGAAGGCGGUCUACCAGAACACGUUCGACGGUGAGGGAUGAAAGCUGGGGGAGCAAACCGGAUUAGAAACCCGGGUAGUCC